This 18-nucleotide transfer RNA is filed under the name Tropidoderus sp. LAN5. RNAcentral describes it as "partial tRNA-Leu". Lineage: Eukaryota; Metazoa; Arthropoda; Insecta; Phasmatodea; Phasmatidae. RNAcentral also lists the same sequence under 1 other name. The record is from RNAcentral.
AUAACACUUUUAUUAGAA